RNAcentral lists this ribosomal RNA (483 nucleotides) under uncultured bacterium IAFBD3. Its description in RNAcentral is "bacterial SSU rRNA". It matches the Rfam family "Bacterial small subunit ribosomal RNA", at positions 47 to 523 of the family's 1533-position model. The record is from RNAcentral.
CUUUACACAUGCAAGUNNNCGGUAACAGGAAGCUUGNUCCRGAAUGACGGARUGGCGAACGGGURAGUAAUAUAUCGGAAYGUACCCAAGAGUGGGGGAUAACGUAGCGAAAGUUACGCUAAUACCGCAUACGAUCUAUGGAUGAAAGCAGGGGACCUUCGGGCCUUGUGCUCCUGGAGCGGCCGAUAUCUGAUUAGCUAGUUGGUGAGGUAAAGGCUCACCAAGGCGACGAUCAGUAGCUGGUCUGAGAGGACGACCAGCCACACUGGAACUGAGACACGGUCCAGACUCCUACGGGAGGCAGCAGUGGGGAAUUUUGGACAAUGGGCGCAAGCCUGAUCCAGCAAUGCCGCGUGAGUGAAGAAGGCCUUCGGGUUGUAAAGCUCUUUUGUCAGGGAAGAAACGGCUGUGGCUAAUAUCCACGGCUAAUGACGGUACCUGAAGAAUAAGCACCGGCUAACUACGUGCCAGCMGCCGCGGUAA